AACGAACGCUGGCGGCAUGCCUAACACAUGCAAGUCGAACGAGACCUUCGGGUCGGGUGGCGCACGGGUGCGUAAGGCGGGGGAACCUGCCCUUAGGUUCGGAAUAACUCCCCGAAAGGGGUGCUAAUACCGGCUAAUGUCUUCGGACCAAAGAUUUAUCGCCUUAGGAUGUGCCCGCGUUGGAUUAGCUAGAUGGUAGGGUAAAAGCCUAGCAAGGCGACGGUCCAUAGCUGGUCUGAGAGGAUGAUCAGCCACACUGGGACUGGGACACGGCCCAGACUCCUACGGGAUGCGGCAGUGGGUAAUAUUGCCCAAUCGGCUGCAGCCUGAUCCAGCUCUGCCUCGUGAGUGCUUUAGUCCUUAGGGUUGUAAAGCUCUUUUACCCGGGAUGAUAAUGACAGUACCGGGAGAAUAAGCUCCGGCUAACUCCGUG
This 433-nucleotide ribosomal RNA is filed under the name uncultured bacterium. RNAcentral's name for it is "partial 16S ribosomal RNA". It matches the Rfam family "Bacterial small subunit ribosomal RNA", at positions 29 to 507 of the family's 1533-position model. The record is from RNAcentral.